AUGUUCUUUAUUUUGCUCCUUUUUUGCUAUUUUUUUAAGAUUAAUUUUUAAUUGGAGGAAAACUGCUUUAUAAUGUUGUGUUGGUUUCUGCCAUACAAAAAUGCAAAUCAGCCAUGAUUGUACAUAUAUCACCUUCCUCUUGAGCCUCCCUCCCCUCUGCCCCCACCCCACCUCUCUAGGUCAUCACAGAAUCCAGGCUGGGCUCCCUGUGUCAUACAGCAACUUCUCACCAGUUUAUUUUACACAUGGUAGUCUAUAUAUGUCGAUGCUACCUUCUUCCAUUCAUUGCACUCUCUCCUUCCCCCACUGUGUCCACAAGUCCAUUCUUCCAUACCUGAGUCUCAUUCCUUCCCUGCAAGUAGGUUUACCAGUACCGUUUUUCUAGAUCCCAUAUAUAUGCAUUAAUAUGAAGUAUUUAUUUUUCUGUUUCUGACUGACUUUGUAUAACAGGCUCUAGGUUCAUCCACCUCGCUAGAACUGACUCAAAUUUGUUCAUUUGUUUGGCUGAGUAAUAUUCCAUUGUAUAUAUGAACCACAAUUUCUUUAUCCAUUCAUCUAUUGAUGGAGAUCUAGCUUACUUCCACGUCCUAGCUAUUGUGCUGCUAUGAACACUGGAGUACAUGUGUCUUUUUCAUUUAUAUUUUCUCAAGGUAUGUGCCCAGUAAUGAGAUUGCUGGGUCAUAUGGUAGUUUAUUUCUAGUUUUUUAAGGAAUCUCCAUACUGUUCUCCAUAGUGGCUGUAUCAAUUUACAUCCCACCAAUAGUGCAGAGGGUUCCCUUUUAUCUACCUCCUCUCCAGCGUUUAUCGCUUGCAGAUUCUUUUUAAUGUUGACCUUUCUGACUAGUGCGAGGUGAUUCCUCUUAUAACACCCGUUUUGUGGUUUUCACUGAUUUGGAAUGUUGGAGAUUAAUGCACUGCUUACUGCAAGAUCCCUAGGCUCUCAUAUAAGACAUCUAUGUGUACAUUGUGAUAAAGUAAGGAAAGGGGAAAAUGAAAUUACCAAGUUUAAUCACAAAAUACAGCUACAUCCCCUCUUGCUUUUCCCUCUUAAAAGCAUGAGUAGUGACCACAGUGAUGGUACUUGUGAUGGCUUCUGGAUGCUGGUCCACUGCCACAUUUAUCAACUUUUCUCCCUUCUUCCUUCAUUAAAGAACAGCAAUGAUCUUCAUCAGUGGCAAGUUUUGGAUUUCAGUACCUUUGACUUUAGGAAAAGAGCUGUACAGCUACUACCAACAUCACUCAUUUUGCUAAUGUCUCCUAAUCAAACCAGAAAUAUGUAACAGCCUCAGUAGCCCAGAGAAAGUAGGAAGGUAAGGAAAUUUGGUGAUGUCCUUUCUUAGAGCUAAAAAAUGGAAUAAUGGUUUCUUGAGUCCUCUUCUGGUUGGUAACAAAACCACCUAUUCCUUUACUCUGGCUGGUAGAGAAGGCACUUUCCU
This 1436-nucleotide long non-coding RNA is filed under the name Bos indicus x Bos taurus (hybrid cattle). Its description in RNAcentral is "lncRNA (ENSBIXG00000010516.1)". The record is from RNAcentral. Lineage: Eukaryota; Metazoa; Chordata; Mammalia; Artiodactyla; Bovidae.